This 1657-nucleotide long non-coding RNA is filed under the name Nicotiana tabacum (common tobacco). Its description in RNAcentral is "long non-coding RNA (NTAB_LNC010690)". Lineage: Eukaryota; Viridiplantae; Streptophyta; Magnoliopsida; Solanales; Solanaceae. The record is from RNAcentral.
UGGUUGGAACAGUUAAGUUUAAAUUAGAUCUAUGGGAAAGGACAUGGGCUUAGGCGUUCAUUAUUGGGUUGAACCUAGAAAUACUCAGCUUUGAAAAGCUGGAAAUUGGGCUCCAAAUUUUGGCCCAGUAGGACGAGUAUUCCAGGGAUCUGGUCCCUGUUGGGAUUUGACUAAGUGCUCGCCAUAUUGGGCUCUAGGCGGUCCUAAUUACUAUAUUUUCUGGCUUGGCCUAUCUAUCCCUUUUGAAUCAACCGAAAUUUGCCUAUUCAUACAUGACUAUACCUAUUACUUGUUAAGUGAAAUCAGUAAAGAUCAAACAGCACUACUAAUUAACAAUUAAAUGCAUGGCUAAACAGGAUAUAAUAACAUGCUUUCUAUUAUAAUCUAAGAAAAGAACUUUAUAAUUGAAGUCAAUCUGCAGGGUUCAACGCCCAAGCCUGUUUGCCUGGGCCCAGACUUGCUCAAAUGAGUUCCAAUGUCGGACCUCAAUGCAAGUCUGGCCCAAUUCAUGUCAAGUCAUUACACCACGAUAAUGUUUAUACAAAAAAAAGGCAAAGGGCCCAGCUGUGGUGACCCAAUACUAAUUAAACAAAAGAAAGAACAGAAUUUAAAAAGAAUCAUUAUAACAGUCUGUUUACCCUGCUGAAAGUCCAUGAGUUUACAAAAAAUAACUAAUAGGCCAUUUUUUCAACAGUUCGUAAUACUAAUGCCUAAAAGAAAAUUUUAAAAGUAAACAAAAGAAAUAUUUUUCUCCAAAGUUCAGGUUUUCUUCUGCUAUCAGAUCCUUUAAUAGGGUGCAAACUUGCAAGGAAUCAGCUAUGGAGUUGUUCCUCACAAGUUGACACUUCGAGCUUCAACCUUGAGAUUACUUGGCUUUGUGGCCACUCACAUACAAAACAACAAUACAACUAUCAGUACAUAUAGAAAUCCAUAGAUUACUGUAACUUUGACUUAACUAACAAAAAGCAAUUAAAAAGAAAGGAAAGUGGCUACUUCAGCAGUUAUGAAUUCAUAUUCAAACCAUUCCAGCAUUCUUUUCACAUAAGAACUUGGCUAAGUAAAAUGCUCAAGCAUGCUAGUGAGGUAAUAACUUAACACAUUUGAAGGAAUCAUGAUCAUAAAGAACAAACAAGCUGGAAAUAAGAAAAGACACUUAACAAACAAAAGCUUUUCAUUCAGCCACCCAGACAAAAGAUUACAGAAGCUAAAUGAACCCAAGUCAAGCAUGUGAGUCCAAAAUGUGUACCUUUAUCAGCAAAAUAGACAAUAAAAGCAAAAAUCUCUCUGAAAACUGAAUUUCAGCAGCAAAAGACAGCAGCAACAAAACCAAAAAUAACCCAAAGAUUCAAAUCCAAACCAAAACCAGCUUGAAACCAGGAGAUCCAGCUAAAAGAACUAAGAAAAUCUUUUAUUUCAUACUAUGUUUUCAACUUGUAAAAAAUCAUAAAAUGAGAAGUUUUUGUGCAGUGAAUUUGAUGAUGAAUGUCUGUUUAUCAGAAUGAGAGAACCUACAUAUAUAGGCUGCCUAGAGAAGGUAUAUUUUUUGGCAUAUUCCUUAUCCUAAAGUAAAAAUAGUACUGUCCUUUUACAGCCCCUGGUACAGCUGUCCUAUAUUUCAACGUCUUUUAUAACAGCUAGGACAGCUGUACAUUUCUAG